CGCGGGAUGGAGCAGUCUGGUAGCUCGUCGGGCUCAUAACCCGAAGGUC
This 49-nucleotide transfer RNA is filed under the name Pseudomonas sp. Its description in RNAcentral is "tRNA-Met". Lineage: Bacteria; Pseudomonadati; Pseudomonadota; Gammaproteobacteria; Pseudomonadales; Pseudomonadaceae. The record is from RNAcentral. RNAcentral also lists the same sequence under 1 other name.